GGCUGUAGCUCAGUGGCAGAGCACUUGCCUAGCAUGCACAAGGCCCUGGGUUCCAUCCCCAGUACCA
Molecule: transfer RNA, 67 nt
Filed under: Marmota monax (woodchuck)
Lineage: Eukaryota; Metazoa; Chordata; Mammalia; Rodentia; Sciuridae
Description: tRNA.Ala
Rfam family: tRNA
About the family: Transfer RNA (tRNA) molecules are approximately 80 nucleotides in length. Their secondary structure includes four short double-helical elements and three loops (D, anti-codon, and T loops). Further hydrogen bonds mediate the characteristic L-shaped molecular structure. tRNAs have two regions of fundamental functional importance: the anti-codon, which is responsible for specific mRNA codon recognition, and the 3' end, to which the tRNAs corresponding amino acid is attached (by aminoacyl-tRNA synthetases). tRNAs cope with the degeneracy of the genetic code in two manners: having more than one tRNA (with a specific anti-codon) for a particular amino acid; and 'wobble' base-pairing, i.e. permitting non-standard base-pairing at the 3rd anti-codon position.
Source: RNAcentral